UCAGUUGCGAUCUACGUCGGCGUUCCGCGCCGCGGAUAACCGUAGUAAUUCGUAGGGCUAAUACGUGCGAAGCGCCGAGCCGCGAGGCGACGGCGUUCUCGCCGGAUGUAGGAACCGACCCGGGGACCGCCGGGGCAACCCGGCGCCCCCGAGACGGGGCGAACCACGGUGAAAUGACGGAUCGUCGGCCCCGCGCCGGCGACUCGCCGAAUGAGUUUCUGACCUAUCAACUCGAGACGGCGGGGUAGAGGCCCGCCGCGGUAACGACGGGUAACGGGGAAUCAGGGUUCGAUUCCGGAGAGGGAGCCCGAGAAACGGCUACCACUUCCAAGGAAGGCAGCAGGCGCGCAACUUACCCUAAUCUCGAUUCGAGGAGGUAGUGACAAGAAAUACCGAUGCGGGACCCUACGGGUGCCGC
This 418-nucleotide ribosomal RNA is filed under the name uncultured eukaryote. Its description in RNAcentral is "bacterial SSU rRNA". It matches the Rfam family "Eukaryotic small subunit ribosomal RNA", at positions 106 to 506 of the family's 1831-position model. The record is from RNAcentral.